Molecule: ribosomal RNA, 423 nt
Filed under: uncultured bacterium
Lineage: Bacteria
Description: bacterial SSU rRNA
Rfam family: Bacterial small subunit ribosomal RNA
Source: RNAcentral
GAAUAUUGGACAAUGGGGGGAACCCUGAUCCAGCCAUGCCGCGUGUGUGAAGAAGGCCUUUUGGUUGUAAAGCACUUUACGCGAGGAGGAGGCUACUCUAGUUAAUACCUAGAGAUAGUGGACGUUACUCGCAGAAUAAGCCCCGGCUAACUCUGCGCCAGCAGCCGCGGUAAUACAGAGGGGGCAAGCGUUAAUCGGAUUUACUGGGCGGAAAGCGCGCGUAGGUGGCCAAUUAAGUCAAAUGUGAAAUCCCCGAGCUUAACUGGGGAAUUGCAGUCGAUACUGGUUGGCUAGAGGAUGGGAGAGGAUGGUAGAAUUCCAGGUGUAGCGGUGAAAUGCGUAGAGAUCUGGAGGAAUACCGAUGGCGAAGGCAGCCAUCUGGCCUAAUACUGACACUGAGGUGCGAAAGCAUGGGGAGCAAAC